UACGUAGGGUGCAGGCGUUAAUCGGAAUUACUGGGCGUAAAGCGUGCGCAGGCGGCUUCGCAAGUCAGACGUGAAAUCCCCGGGCUUAACCUGGGAAUGGCGUUUGAAACUACGGAGCUGGAGUGUGGCAGAGGGAGGUAGAAUUCCACGUGUAGCGGUGAAAUGCGUAGAUAUGUGGAGGAAUACCGAUGGCGAAGGCAGCCUCCUGGGCCAACACUGACGCUCAUGCACGAAAGCGUGGGGAGCAAACAGG
This 253-nucleotide ribosomal RNA is filed under the name uncultured bacterium. RNAcentral describes it as "partial 16S ribosomal RNA". It matches the Rfam family "Bacterial small subunit ribosomal RNA", at positions 524 to 776 of the family's 1533-position model. The record is from RNAcentral.